CAGUAGCCACGGGAACACGAAGGGUGCAUGCGCUACUCGGAAUUACUGGGCGUAAAGCGUGCGUAGGUGGUGGUUUAAGUCCGUUGUGAAAGCCCUGGGCUCAACCUGGGAAUUGCAGUGGAUACUGGAUCACUAGAGUGUGGUAGAGGAUAGUGGAAUUUCCGGUGUAGCAGUGAAAUGCGUAGAGAUCGGAAGGAACAUCUGUGGCGAAGGCGACUAUCUGGGCCAACACUGACACUGAGGCACGAAAGCGUGGGGGGCAAACAGGAUUAGAUACCCCCGUAGUCCCUGUCUCUUAUAC
This 301-nucleotide ribosomal RNA is filed under the name uncultured bacterium. RNAcentral describes it as "partial 16S ribosomal RNA". It matches the Rfam family "Bacterial small subunit ribosomal RNA", at positions 509 to 807 of the family's 1533-position model. The record is from RNAcentral.